This 1709-nucleotide long non-coding RNA is filed under the name Podarcis lilfordi (Lilford's wall lizard). Lineage: Eukaryota; Metazoa; Chordata; Lepidosauria; Squamata; Lacertidae. The record is from RNAcentral.
AAAAUCCCUAGAACUGAGUGUUAGGAUUGCAUGUGAGAACUGCAGGCUUCCAUGCAAACUGCACACUUCGUAACAGGAAGUAGCCACUGCUGAGCAUAGCACAAAACACACUAAAAUGAGUCAGUUCCUAUUUGUAGUGGUUUCAGCAAAAUCAACAAGUAAAUCUCGUGGCACGUUAGAGUCUACCAAAUUAAUUAUGGCCCACAUAUACUGUGGACUACAGUGCACAUUUGUGAAAUUUGUGGCCCUCCAGAUGCUGUUGGAUUCCACAUCCCAUCAGCCCCAGCCAGAAGGAUCAAAAGUUAUGGAUGAUAGGAGUUAUAGUCGAGUCAUCUGGAAGACACCAUGUUGACAACCACUGUUCAACCCUUUACUUGAAAGAAAUAAUCCUAUUAACCACACACUGUUGCUGUUUUCUGUUGUUAACAACGUAGCAUAACCAUUUUUGGACAUUCUUUCUGCCAAGAGGGGCUGAAAGGGGAGAUGCUUUGCAUUUAUGUGGCACAAAGGCAACAUUUUCAGCAGUGAGAACAACCUUUUUCAUUUGGUUGUUUGAUGUGGCUAUCGAGAAAUCAAAGCCCAAAAGAUCAAAAGAUUACGGUAUUAAAGGAAGAUUAUUGUGCUUCAGUUUAAUGGAAAAUACUCCGCACAAGCUUUAAAAAACACACAAAAACACAUUGCAUCCCAACUUUAUGAACAGUAGUUUGCUCUUUAAUCCACUUAUAACCUCUUGGGACAUUAUCAGGAGUCCUUUAGGUGUGCAGAAGGGGUUCCUCGCAUACUCUGCCAUCUAGCUUAAGCUUACCCUCCAUGCAGCCUAUAAACACUACCUGGUGUCGCUAUGCAAAUUUCUUCUUCCAAAAAUCCUCAGGGGAUUGUCAAAAAGUAAGCAGAGCAGCUAUUACCAAAGAAGAAACAGUUUGCAAUCCUAACUCUUGACUACAGUGGGAUUUAAUUUGGAGCAGGUGUGGGGAACGUUUUGCCCACCAGAUGUUGAUAAACUACAAGUACUAUCAUCCCUGACCAUUGACCACGUUUACUGAGACUGAUGGGCUUUGUAGCUCAGCCACAUUUAGAGGGCGAAAGGUUUCCUAAUGCUGAUUUUGAAUAAAAUUGUUUAGGACUGGACAUGCAGCUUGUUUGCAGUCUUCAGGGUGGUAGCCUAGGAUUACCUUCUGCUUGUUGACUCCUUUUCUUCUUACUUCACAGACAACAGUAGUCAUGGUGCUGCCUCCAGGGUGGAGCUGCUGCAAACUUCAGGUGCUAACGCACAUUCCCCACAUAUUUCUUCUAGGGCGUAUGACAUUGACUCACAACAAAAUUGACUGUAGGCAUCUUGUUAUGCAUGGUGGUUGUGUUGCCAGCGCUUAAAGUAAUGGCGUGUUGCUGUUAAUCCAUUGACUCCGCAAUGUUGCCAGUCACAAUGGGAAGCACAUGGUUCUCCUCAAACAGCCUUUGGUGAGUCAUCCCUGUAGUCUCUUCUACACCAAAGGCUUGUUGGACUUGCAGGGGUGAGAAAAGUUCAGCGAGAAAGAGAAAGGUAUUCCUUCGUUUUAUCACCUCCCUGAAGUGUUCUGAGCUUGGUCAAGAUAAGUCUCCCUCAGGUAAACAUUCAGUCUCAAAGAAAUGUCUCUUUAUGGUCUUCCCUUCACAAAUACAAGCCUUGUUGAACAAGAUGAAAAUGGCAGGAAUUGCCUUGAGGGAGCAUU